AUACAAAAAGCGGUGAUUUGGUUAAUUGGGGAAUAGAACAUAUUAAAUACGUGAUUUAAAUUGGAAUCAGUUGAAUUUUAAAAGCUAGUAAAUAGACACUUAAGUGUCGUGGAAAAAACAGUUUGUGAUAGGAAAACACAUUGUGCGGAGACCAAAAUGUUUAAGCGGAUCAAAUCAUAUACACGGUUGAUUGAUUUUUUGCUGGAAGAACUCCCAUCGAUUCUGUCACAACAGUGAGGAGUGGAGGAGUAAUACGAGGAAAAUGUAAAGUUUUCCUAGGGCCUUUUUGAAGGUUAGGGACGAAUGAACUGAAGAAGUUUAAAGCCUCACAUGUCUUUGUUUCUGAUUGAGCUGUAGACGCGAUCAAAUUAUUGACUCGCUGAUGUCUCUGGCAUUGCAUCAAUCUUUUUUGUCUGUGAUUUGGUUUCGCCUGACGGCAGCAAAACUCUCCACAAAGGAUGAUAACUAAGCUGAUCUAGACCGGCAAUAUUUAAAUAAAAGGGCUUCUGUUGAGA
Molecule: long non-coding RNA, 515 nt
Organism: Toxorhynchites rutilus septentrionalis
Lineage: Eukaryota; Metazoa; Arthropoda; Insecta; Diptera; Culicidae
Exons: 3
Source: RefSeq, a predicted model, not a curated record